RNAcentral lists this ribosomal RNA (251 nucleotides) under uncultured bacterium. Its description in RNAcentral is "partial 16S ribosomal RNA". It matches the Rfam family "Bacterial small subunit ribosomal RNA", at positions 29 to 306 of the family's 1533-position model. The record is from RNAcentral.
AGCGAACGCUGGCGGCAGGCUUAACACAUGCAAGUCGAGCGCCGUAGCAAUACGGAGCGGCAGACGGGUGAGUAACACGUGGGAACGUACCUUUUGGUUCGGAACAACACAGGGAAACUUGUGCUAAUACCGGAUAAGCCCUUACGGGGAAAGGAUUUAUCGCCGAAAGAUCGGCCCGCGUCUGAUUAGCUAGUUGGUGAGGUAACGGCUCACCAAGGCGACGAUCAGUAGCUGGUCNGAGAGGAUGAUCA